CUUACGAAGAGUGGAUAUGCGGUCGGUUCCGUCCCCAGUCAUCCACACGCCAAUUCAUAAAACAAUACGGACGAACCAGCGAAUGCUGAACGCCGAAAGACUGCGAGCGACUGCUCUUUUACGAGAGUGGACCUCCGGUUUUGACAAAAGCGAAAAUGCC
Molecule: unclassified non-coding RNA, 160 nt
Filed under: Pelagomonas calceolata
Lineage: Eukaryota; Pelagophyceae; Pelagomonadales; Pelagomonadaceae
Description: ITS1
Source: RNAcentral